RNAcentral lists this ribosomal RNA (255 nucleotides) under uncultured bacterium. Its description in RNAcentral is "partial 16S ribosomal RNA". It matches the Rfam family "Bacterial small subunit ribosomal RNA", at positions 524 to 776 of the family's 1533-position model. The record is from RNAcentral.
UACGUAGGGUGCGAGCGUUUGUCCGGAAUUAUUGGGCGUAAAGAGCUUGUAGGCGGUUUGUCGCGUCUGCCGUGAAAAUUCGAGGCUCAACCUCGAACUUGCGGUGGGUACGGGCAGACUAGAGUGUGGUAGGGGAGACUGGAAUUCCUGGUGUAGCGGUGAAAUGCGCAGAUAUCAGGAAGAACACCCCGUGGCGAAGGCGGCUCUCUGGGACGGUACUGACGCUGAGACGCGAAAGCGUGGGGAGCGAACAGG